Molecule: ribosomal RNA, 249 nt
Filed under: uncultured bacterium
Lineage: Bacteria
Description: partial 16S ribosomal RNA
Rfam family: Bacterial small subunit ribosomal RNA
Source: RNAcentral
UACGUAGGGUGCAAGCGUUGUCCGGAAUUAUUGGGCGUAAAGAGCUCGUAGGCGGUUUGUCGCGUCUGCUGUGAAAUCCGGAGGCUCAACCUCCGGCCUGCAGUGGGUACGGGCAGACUAGAGUGCGGUAGGGGAGAUUGGAAUUCCUGGUGUAGCGGUGGAAUGCGCAGAUAUCAGGAGGAACACCAAUGGCGAAGGCAGAUCGCUGGGCCGUAACUGACGCUGAGGGACGAAAGGAGGGGGAGCGAA